UGCGCAGACGGUGUUCGCUGUGUGUCUGCAGGCAGAGCAGGUCCCAGCCACAGUGCAGGAAUACCGGGAGAAACUGCUACAUCUUCGUAAACUCCGUCAUGACCUGGUGCAGCCCUGUCUGCCCAAGGGACCUUUCCAUGAGGACCCACGCUAAAGAAAUGGACAACAAGUCUUUCUGGAAGGUCUAUUAUGAAAAUCUGGAGAUGGUUGCUGGUCUAACUGAGGAAGAGCUUCAGGCAGACGAUGAAGAUGAUGAGGAGGGAGGCAGUGAACUAUAUCAAGC
Molecule: long non-coding RNA, 283 nt
Organism: Cyprinus carpio (common carp)
Lineage: Eukaryota; Metazoa; Chordata; Actinopteri; Cypriniformes; Cyprinidae
Gene: utp20
Exons: 3
Source: RefSeq, a predicted model, not a curated record